CGAAUGCUGACAUAAGUAACGAUAAAGCGGGUGAAAAGCCCGCUCGCCGGAAGACCAAGGGUUCCUGUCCAACGUUAAUCGGGGCAGGGUGAGUCGACCCCUAAGGCGAGGCCGAAAGGCGUAGUCGAUGGGAAACAGGUUAAUAUUCCUGUACUUGGUGUUACUGCGAAGGGGGGACGGAGAAGGCUAUGUUGGCCGGGCGACGGUUGUCCCGGUUUAAGCGUGUAGGCUGGUUUUCCAGGCAAAUCCGGAAAAUCAAGGCUGAGGCGUGAUGACGAGGCACUACGGUGCUGAAGCAACAAAUGCCCUGCUUCCAGGAAAAGCCUCUAAGCAUCAGGUAACAUCAAAUCGUACCCCAAACCGACACAGGUGGUCAGGUAGAGAAUACCAAGGCGCUUGAGAGAACUCGGGUGAAGGAACUAGGCAAAAUGGUGCCGUAACUUCGGGAGAAGGCACGCUGAUAUGUAGGUGAAGUCCCUCGCGGAUGGAGCUGAAAUCAGUCGAAGAUACCAGCUGGCUGCAACUGUUUAUUAAAAACACAGCACUGUGCAAACACGAAAGUGGACGUAUACGGUGUGACGCCUGCCCGGUGCCGGAAGGUUAAUUGAUGGGGUCAGCGCAAGCGAAGCUCUUGAUC
Molecule: ribosomal RNA, 637 nt
Filed under: Escherichia coli
Lineage: Bacteria; Pseudomonadati; Pseudomonadota; Gammaproteobacteria; Enterobacterales; Enterobacteriaceae
Description: partial 23S ribosomal RNA
Rfam family: Bacterial large subunit ribosomal RNA
Source: RNAcentral